RNAcentral lists this ribosomal RNA (420 nucleotides) under uncultured soil bacterium. RNAcentral describes it as "bacterial SSU rRNA". It matches the Rfam family "Bacterial small subunit ribosomal RNA", at positions 26 to 435 of the family's 1533-position model. The record is from RNAcentral.
AGAUUGAACGCUGGCGGCAUGCUUUACACAUGCAAGUCGAACGGUAACAGGCCGCAAGGUGCUGACGAGUGGCGAACGGGUGAGUAAUGCAUCGGAACGUGCCCAGUCGUGGGGGAUAACGCAGCGAAAGCUGUGCUAAUACCGCAUACGAUCUAUGGAUGAAAGGCGGGGGACCGAAAGGCCUCGCGCGAAUUGGAGCGGCCGAUGUCAGAUUAGCUAGUUGGUGGGGUAAAGGCCCACAAGGCGACGAUCUGUAGCUGGUCUGAGGAGGACGACCAGCCACACUGGAACUGAGCACGGUCCAGACUCCGUACGGGAGGCAGCUAGGUGGGGUAAUUUUGGACUAAGUGGGCGACAAGCCUGGAAUCCCAGCAAGUGCCGUCGUGCCAAGGAAGAAGGUCCGUUGGUUAGUAACGUGUA